RNAcentral lists this long non-coding RNA (2708 nucleotides) under Marmota monax (woodchuck). The record is from RNAcentral. Lineage: Eukaryota; Metazoa; Chordata; Mammalia; Rodentia; Sciuridae.
UUGCCUGUAGGUAGCUGGAGGGUGGAGAAAAUUCACUUAAACGAGGAGCUGGUGGGCUCAGUUCAACCCUCUGUCCCCAAGACUCAGGCUUUUCAUUGGAUAAAUGUAGGCAACAAGGCUGUAUCAUGUGGAUGCUGUGAAGGUUACACUAAAUCUAGUACUAGAUAUAGAGGCUCUUGGUAAGAGUGAAAGAGUACAGGUAAUACUGAUUUGAUUUGUAUAAUGAUAAUCAUUUACAAAUGUGCUGUCAUAUACUUGAGUUCACGUUGAUGCUGAUGGUUGAGGUUGGGAAGCCAGGUACUACUAAACCCUUUACAGGUGGAAAGACUGAGGCUCAGAGGCUGCCCAGGUACACUUUGUCAAGGAAGGGCUGGGAACAGACCUUGAAGCCUCAUCUCCCUAAGUGGAAGUAGGACAUCCAUGUGGGGCAUUUUAGUCAGGGUGAGUGCCACUAGCUGCCACAUUAAACAAAUCCAGAAAUUUCAGCAGCCUAAUACAAGAAGAGUGCAUUUGUCACUAACAGCAUGGCAUGGGCUGGUUGCAAUGUGUGGGGCAUGGAGGAUCCUCUGUUCUACAAUCACUAUGGCCCCCAGGCUCCUUCCAUCUUGUGGCUCCUUGCUCCCCUAAGGCCACUGGGUCUUCCAAAGUCAGCCAGUGCGUGAGCAAGGAGACUGGAGAAUUGGGCACCACAGGUUUUUAUUGGCCAGGCCUGGAAGUGGUGAUGUUGCUUCUGCCCCUAUUUCAUUGGCAAGACUCAGUUACAUGGUCCCCCACCUAAAGUACCAGAUGCUGACAGAAGUGGUCUGUGUGCUCAAGAAGAGAAAACAGUCACCUACAGAAGUCACCUAACCCAUAAACCAAAGAAACAGGCUCAAGGACUCCCUCCCCUUUCCUCAUUCCCAUACAGCAGGCACCUGGUGGACAGCUCAGCUCCCUGGCCUGUUUCUUGAAGAAACAAAAGAUGAUGUUUUUUCAGCACUGAGAAUUGAACCCAGGCAAUGCUCUAUCACUAAGCUGCACCCAUGGUGGUAAUCUUGACUCUUUCUGCUAGAGGUAGGCCGGGGAAAGGAGGUGAUAUCAGGCCACUCCCUUCCAUACUCACAUGCAGGGCAGACGUGGUAGGUGCAGGGGGGUUAGAAUGGAAACUGGGGCCCACCUCCCUUUCUGGCCUUGCCCUGGACCCCGGUGUUCAUCAUCUCUGAGAGAAUGUCCACAGAUCUGCACAAAACGCUCACCUUUGAAGAUGGUUCCAUAAUUGGGAGAAGGAGCUUUGCAGGACAGAAAUAGCAGGAAAACAACAGGCAAGGGGUUUUACCCUGGCUGUGAGGAGGGGGCCUGACAAUGGCUUGUUCCAGAGAGUUCCUUCUUUUCCUGCAAAGGCCAAAAGCCGCCAGCUUAAUACAAUAGCCUUUGUUACCUGGAUUAUUCAAGAUCUCUACUGUGGAAAGUGAAUUUUUUUUUAAAACAUGGGAAGUGAUUUGUAAAACAGCCGAUAGCUUUAAUGACAAGCCUAUUUAGCUGAUAAAAUUAGCCAUCAGAGGAAUAACUUAUGUUAUCCUUUUGCCAUAAUUUAAAUUUAUGGCCAACUACCCAUCAUCUUCACAGUGGAUGGAAAGGGGCCAAGGUCAAUUUCAGCUUCACUCUGCUCCUAAAUCAUUAGUUUGCAACUGUCUCCUGAUUUUUAUUGUUACCAACAAUGGCAAAACUAAUGGAAAUAAACAUUGGAUGCCAUCCCAAUAGCAGAUGGGUUUGAAGGCAGGACAGCCUGUGCAGACAGCACUAAUAGGAUGGAGCAAAAUUAUUACAUUGCAUUAGAUACCGUCGAGCUUCUGGCCAAAGUGUGCAUUGAUCAGGCCAAGGCCCAUGUCAAUUGGACUCCACAACCACAGCAUUAAAGGCAGAGAAGAGCUGGGUGUGGCCACCCUGGGCCCCAGUGGGUCUGGCCCUGCCAGGGCAUGCAUUAAAAACCCAGCCCACGGAAGGGGCCCAUCCACUCCAGUAAUGCACGCUUCGGGCUUCCCUCUGCAUCCCAGCUGAUCUGGUCAGGUUAUCUGAUUAGAAAUGCUUUGCUAAUGAUAUGCAUUAAGUGGGGCUGUGACUGCACUUAAAUUCUGUCCAAGACUGGGGAUAGUCUUUUUUUCCUGCCAGUCCAGUUUACCAAUGAAGAUUGGCUUUAUUCCGUCAUCAAAGCCUCUGUGCACCUUUUCUCCCAGAGGCCAGGCCCAUUUGAGCCCUGGGGAGCUGGAGUGCUGUGGUGUUUCUCCCUUUUUGUUUUCAGCAUGUUGACUGCAAGGUGUCUGGGUGUGAGGGUUUUUAUCCUGCUUAGGAUAUUUGUGGUUGUUGUUUUUCAUUAAAGUUUUUGGCCAUGAUUUCUUUUUUGUUUUGAUUUUGUUGGUGCUGGGGAUUCAACUCAGGGGCUCACAUAUGCUAAGCACAUGCUCUACCACUGAACUACACUCCUAGCCCCAGUGAUUUCCUUAUUUUGUGCUUCCCAUUAUUUCCUUCUUCUCCUUCUGGGACUCUAAUUUUGUAAGUUAGGUCGAUUGAGCACAUCUCACAUCUUUCUCCAUCCAUCCUGCAUUCAUUCCCUCCCCUGCCCCUCUCCUUCUGGGUUGUAAGUUUUGGCAUUCUUAUAAGCCUACCCUCAAAUUAAGAAACCCUGUCUUCUCCUAUGUCCAGACUGCUGUCACCCCAUGCAACUAGGUGCU